GACGAACGCUGGCGGCGUGCCUAAUACAUGCAAGUAGAACGCUGAAGGAGGAGCUUGCUUCUCUGGAUGAGUUGCGAACGGGUGAGUAACGCGUAGGUAACCUGCCUGGUAGCGGGGGAUAACUAUUGGAAACGAUAGCUAAUACCGCAUAAUAUUGACUAUUGCAUGAUAGUCAGUUGAAAGGUGCAACUGCACCACUACCAGAUGGACCUGCGUUGUAUUAGCUAGUGGGUGGGGUAACGGCUCACCAAGGCGACGAUACAUAGCCGACCUGAGAGGGUGAUCGGCCACACUGGGACUGAGACACGGCCCAGACUCCUACGGGAGGCAGCAGUAGGGAAUCUUCGGCAAUGGACGGAAGUCUGACCGAGCAACGCCGCGUGAGUGAAGAAGGUUUUCGGAUCGUAAAGCUCUGUUGUAAGAGAAGAACGAGUGUGAGAGUGGAAAGCUCACACUGUGACGGUAUCUUACCAGAAAGGGACGGCUAACUACGUG
Molecule: ribosomal RNA, 495 nt
Filed under: uncultured bacterium
Lineage: Bacteria
Description: partial 16S ribosomal RNA
Rfam family: Bacterial small subunit ribosomal RNA
Source: RNAcentral